This 253-nucleotide ribosomal RNA is filed under the name uncultured bacterium. RNAcentral describes it as "partial 16S ribosomal RNA". It matches the Rfam family "Bacterial small subunit ribosomal RNA", at positions 524 to 776 of the family's 1533-position model. The record is from RNAcentral.
UACGAAGGGGGCUAGCGUUGUUCGGAAUUACUGGGCGUAAAGCGCACGUAGGCGGCUUUCCAAGUUGGAGGUGAAAUCCCUGGGCUUAACCCAGGAACUGCCCCCAAAACUGGAAGGCUAGAGUCCGAGAGAGGCGAGUGGAAUUUCCAGUGUAGAGGUGAAAUUCGUAGAUAUUGGAAAGAACACCAGUGGCGAAGGCGGCUCACUGGCUCGGUACUGACGCUGAGGAGCGACAGCGUGGGGAGCAAACAGG